This 369-nucleotide ribosomal RNA is filed under the name uncultured bacterium. RNAcentral's name for it is "partial 16S ribosomal RNA". It matches the Rfam family "Bacterial small subunit ribosomal RNA", at positions 338 to 795 of the family's 1533-position model. The record is from RNAcentral.
CCUACGGGGGACAGCAGUGAGGAAUAUUGGUCAAUGGGCGGACGCCUGAACCAGCCAAGUCGCGUGAGGGAAGACGGACCUAUGGAUUGUAAACCUCUUUAGGCGUGGAGCAAUGCCGGGCACGCGUGCCCGGAGGGAGAGUACCCGCAGAAUAAGCAUCGGCUAACUCCGUGCCAGCAGCCGCGGUAAUACGGAGGAUGCGAGCGUUAUCCGGAUUUAUUGGGUUUAAAGGGUGCGUAGGCGGAUUUUUAAGUCAGCGGUAAAAUGUCCGGGCUCAACCCGGGCCGGCCGUUGAAACUGGGGAUCUUGAGUGGGCGAGAAGUAUGCGGAAUGCGUGGGGAGCAAACAGGAUUAGAUACCCGAGUAGUC